Molecule: long non-coding RNA, 419 nt
Organism: Oncorhynchus tshawytscha (Chinook salmon)
Lineage: Eukaryota; Metazoa; Chordata; Actinopteri; Salmoniformes; Salmonidae
Source: Ensembl
GUAAUCAAGAUCAGUCUGAUGAGAGAUGUUUCUCAAGGUGGACCAUCCCAGGAUCAGGAAAAUGAUCUCCCCCUGUCACCCAGAGACAGACAGAACCGGGCUACGGAGGUCCGAUCUCCCCCAGUCACCCAGAGACAGACAGAACCGGGCUACGGAAGUCUGAUCUCCCCCUGUCACCCAGAGACAGACAGACAGAACCGGGCUACGGAGGUCCGAUCUCCCCCUGUCACCCAGAGACAGACAGAACCGGGCUACGGAGGUCCGAUCUCCCCCAGUCACCCAGAGACAGACAGAACCGGGCUACGGAGGUCCCAUCUCCCCCUGUCACCCAGAGACAGACAGAACCGGGUUAUGGAGGUCCCAUCUCCCCCUGUCACCCAGAGACAGACAGAACCGGGCUACGGAGGUCCGAUCUCCCC